This 301-nucleotide ribosomal RNA is filed under the name uncultured bacterium. Its description in RNAcentral is "partial 16S ribosomal RNA". It matches the Rfam family "Bacterial small subunit ribosomal RNA", at positions 509 to 808 of the family's 1533-position model. The record is from RNAcentral.
CAGCAGCCGCGGUAAUACGUAGGGUGCGAGCGUUAAUCGGAAUUACUGGGCGUAAAGCGUGCGCAGGCGGUUGUGUAAGACAGGUGUGAAAUCCCCGGGCUUAACCUGGGAACUGCGCUUGUGACUGCACAGCUAGAGUAUGGCAGAGGGGGGUGGAAUUCCACGUGUAGCAGUGAAUGCGUAGAGAUGUGGAGGAACACCGAUGGCGAAGGCAGCCCCCUGGGCCAAUACUGACGCUCAUGCACGAAAGCGUGGGGAGCAAACAGGAUUAGAUACCCCAGUAGUCCCUGUCUCUUAUACA